This 805-nucleotide ribosomal RNA is filed under the name uncultured bacterium. RNAcentral describes it as "bacterial SSU rRNA". It matches the Rfam family "Bacterial small subunit ribosomal RNA", at positions 53 to 848 of the family's 1533-position model. The record is from RNAcentral.
ACAUGCAAGUCGAGGGGAAACGACAUCGAAAGCUUGCUUUUGAUGGGCGUCGACCGGCGCACGGGUGAGUAACGCGUAUCCAACCUGCCCACCACUUGGGGAUAACCUUGCGAAAGUAAGACUAAUACCCAAUGACGUCUCUAGAAGACAUCUGAAAGAGAUUAAAGAUUUAUCGGUGAUGGAUGGGGAUGCGUCUGAUUAGCUUGUUGGCGGGGUAACGGCCCACCAAGGCUACGAUCAGUAGGGGUUCUGAGAGGAAGGUCCCCCACAUUGGAACUGAGACACGGUCCAAACUCCUACGGGAGGCAGCAGUGAGGAAUAUUGGUCAAUGGACGAGAGUCUGAACCAGCCAAGUAGCGUGCAGGAUGACGGCCCUAUGGGUUGUAAACUGCUUUUAUAAGGGAAUAAAGUGAGUCUCGUGAGACUUUUUGCAUGUACCUUAUGAAUAAGGACCGGCUAAUUCCGUGCCAGCAGCCGCGGUAAUACGGAAGGUCCGGGCGUUAUCCGGAUUUAUUGGGUUUAAAGGGAGCGUAGGCCGGAGAUUAAGCGUGUUGUGAAAUGUAGAUGCUCAACAUCUGAACUGCAGCGCGAACUGGUUUCCUUGAGUACGCACAAAGUGGGCGGAAUUCGUGGUGUAGCGGUGAAAUGCUUAGAUAUCACGAAGAACUCCGAUUGCGAAGGCAGCUCACUGGAGCGCAACUGACGCUGAAGCUCGAAAGUGCGGGUAUCGAACAGGAUUAGAUACCCUGGUAGUCCGCACGGUAAACGAUGGAUGCCCGCUGUUGGUCUGAAUAGGUCAGCGGCC